GGCCCAUUAGCUCAGUUGGUUAGAGCUAAUAAUGCUAAUAACGCGAAGGUCGUGGGUUCGAUCCCCCCAUGGGCCA
This is a non-coding RNA of Cordylochernes scorpioides, 76 nucleotides long. The record is from the annotation of a GenBank genome assembly. NCBI's taxonomy places the organism in Eukaryota, Metazoa, Arthropoda, Arachnida, Pseudoscorpiones, Chernetidae.